Non-coding RNA from Hydra vulgaris (swiftwater hydra), 1158 nucleotides. NCBI's taxonomy places the organism in Eukaryota, Metazoa, Cnidaria, Hydrozoa, Anthoathecata, Hydridae. The record is from RefSeq and is a predicted model, not a curated record.
UUUGUUCCUACCCAUCAAAUGGCAAAUGUAAACCAAGGGACAAUUUAUCUAAUUCAUGCAUGACAUUUUCAAUUCAACCAGUGGCAUUAUGCAACUCCACUGUUAAGGAAAGAUAUAAUACAGCUUUGAGCCAUUUGCAGCCUUUGGCAUCUAUCUUGUCUGAAUUUACACCAAGUUCAACAGCACCAUUCUGAAGAUGAUGUCAUUUCAGAAAAUAAUUUUGAGACUAAUGUUGAAAUAUUUCCUGAAUGUUCUUCUGCAACAUUAGAAUGUGUUUUGCCUGUAUCACCUCAAGUUUCUCUACAAACAAACUCUGUAGCUACAUCAAACGUUUCCCCAACAAUCACAUGUGAGACUCUUCAUGUUGAAAGAUUGCAGACAAAUGUUGAAAUAUUUCCUGAAAGUUCUUUAUCUGCAACAUUGGAAUGUGUUUUGCCUGUCUCACCUCAAAUUUCUAUACAAACAAACUCUGAAACUACAUCAAAAAAUUUUCCAACAAUCACUUGUGAGACUCUUCCUGUUGAAAAAAGGUAUACUACUCGAAUUUUAGAAGACAUUGACAUUGUAUUACGUAAGCCACAGCGCUUUCCCCCAGGUCGACCAGCUGUAAAAAAACAGAGACUUUUUUACAACGUUACAAAACCCCUUGAGAAACUUGGCGUUUAUGAAAAAGAUUUUAUUCGUUUAACUUGGUUCGUCAAAGAUUCCAUUGCGCAGAAUUCAUUACAAAGUGGUAGUAAAAUCUCAAUUAAUGAUCUUUCUUCUACUGUACCUUAUAUCAUUAAUGAUAAAAGCUAACUUACAUGAACUUGAACAAUAUUUUGAUGAGUCUGCUUGGGCAGAGAUUGUAGUAAGAUGUAAGAGCACUUCAUCCGAUAGUUGGCCAUGUUAUUAUUGUCAACAAAUUCAAUCAGCCAAUAAACUUCAAAAGUGGAUUCAGUGCUAUCACUGUUUAUAUUGGUAUCAUUACUAUUGUGUUGGUAUUUCAAGAAAACCUAAAGGUCACUGGUUUUGUAUGAAUUGCAAAACCUAAUUGAAAAGAUUAUAAUACUAUAUAUUCAUAUAUGUAUAUAUAUAUACAUGUGUGUUUAUAUAUGUAAUAAUAGUUUAACAUAAUAGCGUGUAUAUAACUUAACUAUAAGUAGAUACUAAUUACAA